GACGUAGGAUGCGAGCGUUGUCCGGAUUUAUUGGGCGUAAAGAGUUCGUAGGCGGUUUGUUAAGUUCGAUGUUAAAUAUCAGGGCCCAACCCUGAGACUGCAUUGAAUACUGGCAGACUGGAGUGCGGUAGAGGUAAGUGGAAUUCCUGGUGUAGCGGUGAAAUGCGUAGAUAUCAGGAAGAACACCAGUGGCAUAGGCGACUUACUGGGCCGUAUCUGACGCUGAGGAACGAAAGCCAGGGGAGCAAAUGGG
RNAcentral lists this ribosomal RNA (253 nucleotides) under uncultured bacterium. RNAcentral's name for it is "partial 16S ribosomal RNA". It matches the Rfam family "Bacterial small subunit ribosomal RNA", at positions 524 to 776 of the family's 1533-position model. The record is from RNAcentral.